GAUGAACGCUAGCGGGAGGCCUAAUACAUGCAAGUCGAGCGGUAGAGUGACUUCGGUUGCUUGAGAGCGGCGCACGGGUGAGUAACGCGUACAUGACCUACCUUUAAGACUGGGAUAGCCCUGGGAAACUGGGAUUAAUACCGGAUGUGAUAAUAGAUAUAAGGAUUUAUUAUUAAAGUUACGGCGCUUAGAGAUGGAUGUGCGUCUGAUUAGCUAGUUGGUAGGGUAACGGCCUACCAAGGCAACGAUCAGUAGGGGCGUGAGAGCGUGACCCCCCACACGGUACGUGAGACACGGACCCGACUCCUACGGGAGGCAGCAGUAAGGAAUAUUGGUCGAAUGGACGAAAGUACUGAA
Molecule: ribosomal RNA, 357 nt
Filed under: uncultured bacterium
Lineage: Bacteria
Description: bacterial SSU rRNA
Rfam family: Bacterial small subunit ribosomal RNA
Source: RNAcentral